This 1376-nucleotide ribosomal RNA is filed under the name uncultured bacterium. RNAcentral's name for it is "16S ribosomal RNA". It matches the Rfam family "Bacterial small subunit ribosomal RNA". The record is from RNAcentral.
AGAGUUUGAUCCUGGCUCAGGACGACCGCUGGCGAUGUGCUUAACACAUGCAAGUCGAACGGUAAGGCCCCAGCUUGCUGGGGUACACGAGUGGCGAACGGGUGAGUAACACGUGGGUGACCUGCCCCGCACUUCGGGAUAAGCCUGGGAAACUGGGUCUAACACCGGAUAGGACCGCACCGUGAGGGUGUGGUGGAAAGUUUUUCGGUGUGGGAUGGGCCCGCGGCCUAUCAGCUUGUUGGUGGGGUAAUGGCCUACCAAGGCGGCGACGGGUAGCCGGCCUGAGAGGGUGGACGGCCACAUUGGGACUGAGACACGGCCCAGACUCCUACGGGAGGCAGCAGUGGGGAAUAUUGCACAAUGGGCGGAAGCCUGAUGCAGCGACGCCGCGUGGGGGAUGACGGCCUUCGGGUUGUAAACUCCUUUCACCAUCGACGAAGGUUUUCUGACGGUAGAUGGAGAAGAAGCACCGGCUAACUACGUGCCAGCAGCCGCGGUAAUACGUAGGGUGCGAGCGUUGUCCGGAAUUACUGGGCGUAAAGAGCUCGUAGGUGGUUUGUCGCGUCGUCUGUGAAAUUCCGGGGCUUAACUCCGGGCGUGCAGGCGAUACGGGCAUAACUUGGGUACUGUAGGGGAGACUGGAAUUCCUGGUGUACCGGUGAAAUGCGCAGAUAUCAGGAGGAACACCGGUGGCGAAGGCGGGUCUCUGGGCAGUAACUGACGCUGAGGAGCGAAAGCAUGGGUAGCGAACAGGAUUAGAUACCCUGGUAGUCCAUGCCGUAAACGGUGGGCGCUAGGUGUAGGGGUCUUCCACGACUUCUGUGCCGUAGCUAACGCAUUAAGCGCCCCGCCUGGGGAGUACGGCCGCAAGGCUAAAACUCAAAGGAAUUGACGGGGGCCCGCACAAGCGGCGGAGCAUGUGGAUUAAUUCGAUGCAACGCGAAGAACCUUACCUGGGCUUGACAUAUACGGGACCGGGCCAGAGAUGGUCCUUCCCUUGUGGCUCGUAUACAGGUGGUGCAUGGUUGUCGACAGCUCGUGUCGUGAGAUGUUGGGUUAAGUCCCGCAACGAGCGCAACCCUUGUCUUAUGUUGCCAGCACGUAAUGGUGGGGACUCGUGAGAAACUGCCGGGGUCAACUCGGAGGAAGGUGGGGAUGACGUCAAAUCAUCAUGCCCCUUAUGUCCAGGGCUUCACACAUGCUACAAUGGUCGGUACAGUGGGUUGCGAUGCCGUGAGGUGGAGCUAAUCCCUGAAAGCCGGCCUCAGUUCGGAUCGGGGUCUGCAACUCGACCCCGUGAAGUCGGAGUCGCUAGUAAUCGCAGAUCAGCAACGCUGCGGUGAAUACGUUCCCGGGCCUUGUACACACCGCCCGUC